RNAcentral lists this long non-coding RNA (2506 nucleotides) under Mus caroli (Ryukyu mouse). RNAcentral describes it as "predicted gene, 38404 (MGP_CAROLIEiJ_G0006430.1)". The record is from RNAcentral. Lineage: Eukaryota; Metazoa; Chordata; Mammalia; Rodentia; Muridae.
GAUACCCAGAGGCAUGGACAGACUCCAGAAGAGACCAACUGGAAAAAUGAGUGUCAGCAAUGGUACCCUGGUGUUGGGAGGCUUACAAACGGUCCCCCCUUUCCCUAUAUGAGCUACACACCACCCUCCUAAGAGUGAGUACCCAUCCUCUGGCUGUAUUCUCUCUCCUUGAACGCCAAUCAGAGUGAAAGUUUACCUACAGCCCACGUGGGGUGGGAAUUCAGUCGGCAAACACAACAAACCUUGGCUCUAUCCACAGGACAGGUGGCAGGUGAAGGACCGGGAGUUGGGCCCCUGGAAACCACUGAUCUUUUUACAGUGCUCACAGCUUUGUCCCCUCUAGGAUACUAUGACAUGUUAUGUUAUGAAGUUUGAAUCGUGCAGCACAUAAGCAUUCCAGAUUUGUCGCCUGCACUUACGAGUGUGUCAUAAGGAGUUGUCCACGUCUCUUCAUGAUGGCUCUAGAGACUGGCAGGAGGUUUUGGAAGUAGUUGAUUGAUGCCUCGGCCCAUUUGUGAACUCUUCUUCAGAUGGCCUGCAGGUUCCAUUUAAGUCUCUCACAAGAGAGUCAACUUAAAUCCACGGAGAUAGGCAUAAUUGGCCCUAGUCUACAGACUGUGCAUACGGCAUUGGUGAAGACGGAGCUUCCUGCUUAAGGCCACAGUCACCAAGUGGCGGAGAUUAACCCUGGCUCCUGCUGGCUCCAGCCUGUGCUAACCACAGUACUGAUGUCUCUGACUUCCCACAAAUGGGUCAGUUAUUGCUUCUAUGAUGGUUUGAAUUGCAGGCAUCAGACAAACAAUCUCUCUGUUUUUCACUUUUCAAAGCGGUAUCUGUAGUAGUCGUAUGAGUUAUUAACAGUUUUUGUUCCUUUUUUUAUGUUAGACAAUUUUGUCUCACUGAAGGUACAAGCAUAAGUGCACAAAACACAGUUAAAAUAGAAGAGGCUAUAUUACAGCAUGGGUUAGAUUUAUUAAUACAUUUUAUUUUUUUUAAAAAAGAUUUUCUCCACCUAUAGUAAAUAUACAUAUAUAUACACAUAUAUGUGUAUAUAUAUACACACACACAUAUAUAUGUAUAUGUAUGCCUGUAAGUGUUUUUGCCUGGAUGUAUGUCUGUGUGCCACACGCAUGUUCAGUGCCUGUGGAGGGUGGAAGGGGUGUUGGAUGCAGUUACAGUUGGUUAUCUACCACGUGGAUUCUGGGAACUGAACCAGGGCCCCGCAAGUGCUGCUAACUGCUGAGCCAUCUCUCUGGCCCCAUUAUGGCAUUGUCAUACAUAAACAUACUGUGUUCUCAUCACCCUCCCCCCCACCCACUGUCAGUUUAUUCUUCCUAAUUAUCCUCCUUUCCAUGUCCACGGAUUAUUUUUUCUUUUCUCUCUGUGACUCAUUGGUUUUCAUUGUUUCAGAAGUGUGUGCCCCUUGUCAGUGGCGACGCCAUGAAGAAAGUGUUUCUCCCUCCACCAUCAGUCAUUAACUGUGUUACGUCUUCAUGGAGAGUGAGGCCUCACUAGCUCCCUCCCUUUCCACGACAGAGGGUCGACAAAGCCAAUCUUACACAGAUCUUGUUCGGAUAGUCACAGCUGCUGAGUGUUAAAGGUACAGCAGCCAUGGCAUUCCCAGAAGUCAACAUUCCACACCACCAUGAAGCCAUCACCAAGCCACUACCGUGCCACCACCACUUUCUCUGGUUAUUACAUUUUUCCUUCUUCCAUGAUGUUCCCUGAGCUUUGAAGGGGGUGAUACAGAUAUCCCACUUAGGACUGGGCACCGAGUACUUAUCAGGAGACAAUCUCCUCACGGGCUUGUCCCGAUCAUAUGUCAGGUGUGCAAACCAUGACGCCUCGUGACGUUUUUUACUGGCUUCAGAGAAAAUUUGCAUAGUGUAUCCUUUGUUUUUCACUUCCAGUAUCUGCCCCCACAAGUAGCUUUUUACACACUGUUCCAAUCAGUGGACAUGGGACAUCUCCCCACUCACUUAGACUCUGAUUUUUUUUCUCAACAUCUCGUAGUGUUCACCAUGUGAGUUUGGCCCAUGCUCUGUUGAUCUCAUGGCUAAGUGUUUGGCGUUCCUUUGAGCAAGGAAGAGUGGUGUUUAUACCAUUUUACAUUUAGGAAGGGGUUGCUUCCCACUUGUCUGUUAUUGUGUUGAAGCAAAACUGAUUUCCAUGCGUUUCUCUCAUAACCUCACUGAUUAGUUGAGGAUGCAUUUUUGUAGAUAUUUGGGAUUUAGUUCUGUAGAUAAUAAUCAUGCCAUCUAAAAUAAAGACAGUUUGUUCAUUUCUGAUCUAUAGCUGCUUUUUCGUUACUCUCCCUGGUCACACUGCUAAAAGUUACAGCAAUAUAUUUACUGAAAAAAGAGUAGCCAGAGGCAAGAAUGGAGCUCAUCGCUGUAAUCCCAGCACUCGGGAGUCUGAGGCAUGAGAGUUGUCACCAGUUCCAAGCUAGCCUGGGCUAUAUAGUGAAUUCUAGGACAGCCUAGGGCUCCCGAGUGAGACCCUGCCU